CGAAGUUUGUACAACACUCUGUAGGUAAAAUUCAAUAAGGGCUAAGCAUUCUCUAGUAUGAUUGGCAGCUUCUCUAAAUGAGAUGCAAACCUAGAAUAGCAGAGUGGAGGACUGUAGGCCUGGCUUGUGGAGCAGGACUAGAAUAGCAAGGGAGACUUGAAGGUUAGGAUUGGGGUGCACUGUGGUGGCGACUAGCCCCUGCACUGACUAGCUCAAAUCAGCACUGCUAUUUCCUUAGUUUCAUAGUUGCUGGUCUCUGUGGCAGACUGUAAAACAACUUCUUUGACUUGCAUUAAUGGAACAUUGAUCCCCAGCCUCUUCAGGCUCCCUCCAGGAGAGGAAAGGGGCAGCUGUUAGCAACAGUGAAACCAGAAUCUGAAGCCAGAGAUGUUCUAGGGUUCUCAAGGAGGGGAAGGAAGAGCAGGUGACCCUGGUAAUGCAGACAGAGAGAGAAAGUGAGGCAUGAUGCAGGCUUGCCCACAAGGUGUCUGUUCUGCAUAUGCCAAUGGGACAGUAUAAACAUGGGGUGGAGCACGGCCCCUGGGGAGACUGCUUCCCACAGGGAGUCAGUAAGUCUCUAAAUUAAGCUGAAAAUCACUGAGAGUAGCAGAUUCCAGGGGCUGUCACUGAACGCCACCUAGGUUCCUCAAAUAAGUCUGUGUAGAUGGUACUCAGUACACUGAAAACUGGCUUGCCCAUCCUGCUUGCAUUUGCUUUUAUUUUAAACUGGGAUCCAGAAGAUGCAGCCAGGACAUAACUGGCAAAGAAGUGUCCGAGCUGCUGUCAUGUUCAGUUUCAGCCCUCCUGCAACUCAGACAGUUGCAUUUAUUUUAAGGGGCUUUGCUGCCUACAGUAGGGAUUGGUGCUUCAGGGGUGGAGAGGGUUGAUGAGCAAAUACCCAUGUUUUCAUGGCUGCAGUGCCUUUACCCUGGGUUGGGGAAGAGAUUGGGUUUCCCUUAGAGAGGUAUAUGUAAUGUCCAAGGCUGGCUGGCUGGCUGGCUGACAACCCUGCAGCUUGCCCGGUCCCCUUUUCAUCCAUCUCUUUCCCCUUUGUUUCAGGCUAACCUCUUCCCAGCAUCUGUCAUUCACUUUGGAUCUGAGGAGAACAGAGAUUGUUACUUGAGACCAGAACUGCUGGAGUCCGCAGUGUCCCCUUCCACGGCUGACUUGCUAGUAGCUAGAGGCUUGUCCAAAUCAAUAGUCCCUUCUGCUCCACCAGUUUCAGAAACAGCUGUUCCACCCCCAGUUGGGCCAGAGGAGACAGAUGGGAAAAGAACUGCAGAGAACCCAGAACCAACAAGAGCCAAUGAAACGUCACAGCCAGUGAGAAGCCCCCCUGAAAAAGUACCAAAGUGGCUGAAGCUGCCAGCUGGGAAGAGAUGAAACAUCCCAGGUGCUGGGCCUGCAAGAUUACUUGGCUGGACUGAGAAGCAGCAGAAUCAAUUGCACUUCUUUCCAUAUGAACUGCUACAAAGUUUGUAAUAAACCAUUGGUGGUCCUGGAGAGACCUGAACAACAUGAUUUAUUUCUUAAAAAAAUGAAAUAGAAUAGCUAUUUCAUGUUGCUAAUUCUGCCUUGUUGGGAGCAGACAAAGUCCCAUGUGUUGUAACACUGUCUGCCUGGCAAUAAAAGCAGGAUCAGGAGAAACUCAAGGUGUCCUGCAUGCAUGUAAUCUGAAAGGAGCAGGCAGAGAGAAUUCUUCCUAGCCAUCUCUUGACUUUGCUUCUAUAGGUGUUUGACACUCAAGUCUUCUAAUUUCUGUCUUCGGAGGUUACCUAAAGCAGUGUGGCUGCUCUGUUACCCGGAACAAGACCUUAGUGCUAAAAUCAGUUUCACCUACAGCUGUAAAGUGUUGCCCAGAGCUUGGCUUGUCCCUAUGGUGUGGCAGUGGCUGCAGCUGCUGGUUGUCCUGCAGGAGCUGUUUUGAUAACUCACAAUUUACUGAGUGGCUUUUGGUGAGAACUUCCUGCGUCACUGUACUUGUCUGUUUUCCACUGGUGAAGUCUUGUUAAUAAAGAAUGUAGGUAUCUAUUAAUGGCAUGCCCAUGGAAUAUGCCUCUGGACUGAGCUGUUUUAUUUCCAUUACACAUAAUUAACAUAAUUCAUUACUCCUCUAAUGAGAGCAAAACUCCAGUGAAAGGUCUCUUCAUUUGACUCUCCAUCUGCUGAUUUCUUUGGCUUUGAUGUUGCCUGCAAUGGAAUUGCUGUUUGCAGUAUGAGUGCUGCUCUGCUGCAUGCAUGUGCACGGUUGGGAUGCAAGUUAAGGUUUAGAAAUGUGCCUGCCACAAAGAUGAGAUCUGUAGUGCCACACUAUCCAGGCUGCUGUAUUUUAUUUGAAGUUUUUUCAUAGUCCAGUAAUUCCAGUUGGACAGAGCUACUGUGUUAUGGUAAUAAUUCUCACCAUUUGUUUUCCCUGUACAGAGUUUUUCAUUGAACUGUGUGUGUGUCUCCACAAUUUGUAGAUGUAAUAAAGCAGAGUGGCCAUAGGAGGCUUUUUGUCGG
Long non-coding RNA from Trachemys scripta elegans, 2502 nucleotides. RefSeq lists it as uncharacterized. NCBI's taxonomy places the organism in Eukaryota, Metazoa, Chordata, Testudines, Emydidae. The transcript is spliced from 4 exons. The record is from RefSeq and is a predicted model, not a curated record.